RNAcentral lists this long non-coding RNA (2099 nucleotides) under Strigops habroptila (Kakapo). RNAcentral describes it as "lncRNA (ENSSHBG00005013741.1)". The record is from RNAcentral. Lineage: Eukaryota; Metazoa; Chordata; Aves; Psittaciformes; Psittacidae.
GGUUAAAGAAAAAAGUAAAAAAUAAAAAAUAUAGCAUCAGUUCCCCCAACAGAGCAGGACUCUGAGGAAUGUGGAAGUGCUCAGGGAACAGCAGCGUCAGGAAACCUGACCAAAGCAGCCUGACAGACAGGAUACCGUUCCCUGAGCAGCACAAACUGCCAGUGAAGGAGAUGUCCUAGCUCGUACUUCCCCCAGCCUUCCCUGUCUCUUGCCUCAACAUCCACCCCUGCCUUUGCAGGCAAGCAGUGAUUUGGGUCGGCACAGAGUCCCUGAACAAUUUAACCUUGGAAACAAACCAUUAGUUCCUGGCAGUUGGGCAACAGGAAUGGCUUCUCCUGCAGCUACAAUUCUGUGAUGCAACAGAGGGUGAGGCCCUGCGGCUGAGGGAGAGGAAAGGUGGGACUGUGCAGCCAGGUCUUAGACUGGUUCACAUCCAUUGUGUAAGCAAGCUCUGGGCAGCAUAACCACAGGGCCUUAAUUACAGGGCUUUAAGCCAGGAAUACAUUGUGCCAAAAAUUAGGAAAGCUUUUGAACACCCUCCUGCCGGGAAUACUGCAAGCUGCCCUUCACAUGAACUUUCCCCAGGAAAAGUGCCUGUGCAGUAUGGCCUCUUCUUCCAUGGACCUACAUGUGCCCAUUUGGGCUUUUUUGUUUAACUCUUCAACUUGAAUUAGACAAAUCAAAGCAUUUCAUGGACCUGGUCAGCUCCCUACCACAAUGCCAGCUGCCCCUUUGUGGAAGUGGGUAUUAGCACAGGGGUCACAUUUAAGUUGAUAGAUAACAUAGCCAGCAUUGACUGAUGUCUUCCUGGUACGAAAUUGCAUCCUGUGGACUAACCUAACAUACAUGUGAUUCCAUAGUGCAGCCACUGGAUGUUGUCAUUGCUCCUUAUAAAUGUCACUAGCUCUGCGUUACCAUCCCAUAGAGAGAAAACAGAAUCCCGAAAUACAAGGCAGCUUCAACAUCAACCACAGCUGUUGAUGGAGCACAUGCAGCCACCACGAGUACUGGAACAUCUGAUUAAUGACAACAGGGAACAAAGCAAAUAUCACAUCUUACCGAAGAUUUAAAGUAUGCACGGGGCUUUAAAUAACCAAGGAAGCCUGGACUUCAGCUAUUGCUUUAGUGACUUAUAAACACAUCAAUAAAUGCACAAUGGGAGGCACUAAAAGUGAUGCUUGUCAUUUAUCCACUUGACAACCAUCUGGGAAGUUUCAUUUCACUGUGAGAUCUAUAUUUGUAUUUAACCUCAAGCACAAUAUUUCCCAGAGAAGAAAGCACUGAGAACCUUAAGGGGCUUCCUAGGCAGAACAAUUGAGAUGCUCCUUUAACAACAAAUGGGAUUAUGGAGAGAAACUUCUGUUAGCUGACACAUUUGAUAUACUUUAAAAAGUGAAAAAGAGAUUAAGAACCAGAGCAAAUGAAGGAAAACUAAAGGCUAUGCUUGUUUUGGUUGUUUCCCAGAUGUCCCUGAACACUGAAUUGCAAUUUUGUGCUGGUUCAAUCUUUCUUGACUGCAGGCUACUGCUAGAUGAUGUGAUCUGUUCUCACCCUUCCCUUCCAUCUGAUCUCACAUAGGCAGAAGCCAAGUUUGAGAUUACUGUUAGGGAGGACAAACUAGAAAACAAAAUUAAUUGUCCUUUCAGUGGCUCAGCAAAUGGAAGGAAUCCAUCACAAAACUGCACAACCAACCUAGAUUCUGUUCAACAAACCAACCCCUAGAUUCUGUGCAAGAGAAUUGGUGAAACAGCCUCUAGUGGAAGUAUCCCCCAGUUAAACUAAAUUAAGCACAACACAAAGCCAUACUCUGAGUCAAUUUUGUCUAUUUUCAGGUGAUGACUGUCCCUUACAGAACCACCCUGUUUGCUAUUUAUUUAGCUGUUUAUCCAAACUGCACUUUCUGACAGGCCAGUGCUGUUAUCAGACUCACCCCACAACAACCCAAUAUGUAACUUUUAAGCUCUUUUGCAUUAUUCCCACUUUAAUGUGUUAUAUUACUUUAGUGAGCAGUGGGAUAAGCCUUUCCUCAGCAGCAGUACCAGCUUAAGCAGAGUUUUACGCUCCUCCAGCCCCAUAGCUACAUCCUUAGUUGUUCCAGU